Molecule: ribosomal RNA, 249 nt
Filed under: uncultured bacterium
Lineage: Bacteria
Description: partial 16S ribosomal RNA
Rfam family: Bacterial small subunit ribosomal RNA
Source: RNAcentral
GUGUCCCUACGGGGCGCAGCAGUCGGGAAUAUUGCGCAAUGGAGGAAACUCUGACGCAGUGACGCCGCGUAUAGGAAGAAGGUUUUCGGAUUGUAAACUAUUGUCAUUAGGGAAGAUAAAAGACUGUACCUAAGGAGGAAGCCCCGGCUAACUAUGUGACAGCAGCCGCGGUAAUACAUAGGGGGCAAGCGUUAUCCGGAUUUACUGGGUGUAAAGGGAGCGUAGACGGCAUGGCAAGUCAGAUGUGCA